This is a long non-coding RNA of Oreochromis niloticus (Nile tilapia), 668 nucleotides long. RefSeq lists it as uncharacterized. NCBI's taxonomy places the organism in Eukaryota, Metazoa, Chordata, Actinopteri, Cichliformes, Cichlidae. The record is from RefSeq and is a predicted model, not a curated record. The transcript has 3 exons.
GCAGAUUUGUAAAUUCACGGUGACCAUCGGAUUCUCGGACCAGUGUUUAUAAGAAAACUACUUUAUUUGGUAAAAGAGAGAGACCGGAGCAGCUGCUGCCUCGUUGAUAAAAUGAAAGUAAAAAGAUCAGAGGAGCGGCAGCAGGCGUGGGCGAGGUUACGAACUCAAACACCUCCGAUCCUCAGUUUUAGUGAGCAACAGCGGGCAACAACUGAAUGAAGUAGCUGCUGAAAGGAUCAACAUGCAAAGGCCUCACAUGGUCCCAGAAUGAGCUCCUCUACCUCCACAGAUUGUGAGCUUGACUUUCUAAAGCCCAUCCUGCAGGUUCAAACUGGACUUCGGAGGAACUGGCACACAGAUUCACCACAAACCACAUCUGUACAUGUUAAGCCAGGGAAAUUUGUUUUGGAAUUUUUAUGUUCACAGUUGCGUGUCUGUGUGUCAGCUUCUUCUGCUAACCCCAACUGGUCAUGGCCUCCCCUCCCUGAGCUUGUUCUGCUGGAGGUGUCUUCCUGUUAAAAGGAGGGUUGUUUUUCUUCCCACUGUUGCCAAGUGCUGGAUCAUAGUGGUCAGCUGAUUGUUGCGGUUUUCUCUGGGCUAUUGUAGAGUCUUUACAAUAAAAAGCAUCUUGAGAUGACUGUUUUUGCAAUUUGGAAAAAUAUAAAGAA